AAUUAGUUCAUUUUUUAGUUUUUAAUACCACGUUUGACUUUUCGUUUUAUUUAAAUUUUUUUGCGAUUAAUAUUUUUAUUGUCAUUACAUGAUAAAAUAUGAAUAUUACUUUACGUGUGACUUUUUUUAAGUUUUUUUAUAAUUUUUUUAAAUGAGACGGAUGACUAAACGCUACAUAGAAACCAACGAAUAAAGUCCCU
RNAcentral lists this microRNA precursor (200 nucleotides) under Oryza brachyantha (malo sina). Its description in RNAcentral is "MIR812 microRNA precursor family". It matches the Rfam family "MIR812 microRNA precursor family". Lineage: Eukaryota; Viridiplantae; Streptophyta; Magnoliopsida; Poales; Poaceae. The record is from Rfam by way of RNAcentral.